Molecule: ribosomal RNA, 433 nt
Filed under: uncultured bacterium
Lineage: Bacteria
Description: partial 16S ribosomal RNA
Rfam family: Bacterial small subunit ribosomal RNA
Source: RNAcentral
AGCGAACGCUGGCGGCAGGCUUAACACAUGCAAGUCGAGCGGGCACUUCGGUGUCAGCGGCAGACGGGUGAGUAACACGUGGGAACGUACCCUUCGGUUCGGAAUAACGCUGGGAAACUAGCGCUAAUACCGGAUACGCCCUUUUGGGGAAAGGUUUACUGCCGAAGGAUCGGCCCGCGUCUGAUUAGCUGGUUGGUGGGGUAAUGGCCUACCAAGGCGACGAUCAGUAGCUGGUCUGAGAGGAGGAUCUGCCACACUGGGACUGAGACACGGCCCAGACUCCUACGGGAGGCAGCAGUGGGGAAUAUUGGACAAUGGGCGCAAGCCUGAUCCAGCCAUGCCGCGUGAGUGAUGAAGGCCUUAGGGUUGUAAAGCUCUUUUGUCCGGGACGAUAAUGACGGUACCGGAAGAAUAAGCCCCGGCUAACUUCGUG